RNAcentral lists this long non-coding RNA (1234 nucleotides) under Bos indicus x Bos taurus (hybrid cattle). RNAcentral describes it as "lncRNA (ENSBIXG00005028121.1)". The record is from RNAcentral. Lineage: Eukaryota; Metazoa; Chordata; Mammalia; Artiodactyla; Bovidae.
UAAGUCUUGGAAUUCAGCAGGCUUUCAGUAAAAUUCAGAAAUACUUAUUCUUUCAUGUCACCCCUCACAGAUUAUACCUAAAUCCCACUGGAGAAUUCUGAUUAUACUUCAAGAGAGCCCUUGGACUUUUUUUAGGGUGGACUUAACCUGUAACAGGAUGCUGUAAAAGGACAGCGUUCCCAUAGUGAUGAGGAUGAUAUCAUCAAGACUGGUUCCAGCAGUGAGUACCAACCCAUUGCUCACCACAGGAAUGGAUGGGAUAAGAGAUAACAGCAUUUUCUGUUCAAAUACCGAGAACUCAAAGAUUAGCCAGGCUAACAAGCCAGGAAUUUUCACUAAACGCUUAAGCAAAACCACUCAGAUGAAUAAACCUCAAAGACUUAAGUCAAAGAGCCUCAUUAGGAGAUGAAUAGCAAAUGCUGUGUUCCAAAGGUUAAACACAUUUAAGCCAAGAGGAAGCAACAAGGCAUAAAGCGAGCAGAGUAUGGUUUGCUACUCAGAUGUGAUGCAGAGUCCAGUGCCACAGCCUCCACUGAGGGGGCUGCAUUCACACAAUGUUGGGACCUAGAGACACACUUAAAAGGCCAAUUGUGGGACGUUCCUAAUGGUCCAGUGGUUAAGAAACCACCUGUUAAUGCCUGGUCUGGGAAGAUCCCAUGUGCUACAGGGCAACUUGUACCUCAACUUCUGAAGCCUGCACACCCUAGACUUCAUGCUCUGCAACAAGAGAAGCCAUUGCAAUGAGAAGCCUGUGUCCCACACCUGCAGAGUACCCUCGUCUCCCUACAACAAGACCCAGCACAGCUAAAAGAGAAGCCAAUUGCUGUUGUUGUUUUUAAUUUCAAAUGCCAAUGCAAGUCCUUUCAUUUUUUCAGUGAAACCAUUUGGAAUUUAGGCUAACUGACUGUGAAUUUAUAGUAUCAUACCAUUUUAAGGUGGUCUUGCCAUUGCUAUGUUCAAAUGAAAUAAUGGAUAGACCUUGAGUAGAGUGGGAGAUGAGGACAAUCACUUUCCUUGUUCUCAGUCCUGACUUCUGCAUUCCCAGUACUCAAGGUACAAUUCUUUAGGCUUCAAUUUAUAGGAUACUUUGAUGAGCUGAGAGGGUUUAAGGAAGACACUCAAAAAUGCAUCAGUUCAGUUCAGUCGCUCAGUCGUGUCUGACUCUUUGCGACUCCAUGAAUUGCAGCACGCCAGGCCUCCCUGUCCAUCACCAACUCCCAGAGUUCACUCAAAC